Molecule: non-coding RNA, 45 nt
Organism: Schistosoma curassoni
Lineage: Eukaryota; Metazoa; Platyhelminthes; Trematoda; Strigeidida; Schistosomatidae
Source: Rfam
AUUCAACUGAUGAAUCCAAAAUAGGACGAAAGACGCAUCGCGAAU